GCAGAACUGAGGGGAGGCAAGGCAGCGGGCCUGAAACUGAGAGCGAGGAAUACCCAGGUCAAAUCCAUAGAGCAGUGCGAGUUGAGAGUGACCUGCCAGGAGAAGAGGGCAGUGUGAGUUGGGGAUGACCUGCCAGGUGAAGAGUUCUAAAUCCAGGAAAAAGGAAGCUACGGCUCUGCCGGCUGAGAUCCUCGCUGUUCUGGAACAACAUCGAGAAGAUAUUUUAAAGGAAUUUAGAACUUCUUUCAACCAGCUGGAUGC
Molecule: long non-coding RNA, 261 nt
Organism: Hypanus sabinus (Atlantic stingray)
Lineage: Eukaryota; Metazoa; Chordata; Chondrichthyes; Myliobatiformes; Dasyatidae
Exons: 3
Source: RefSeq, a predicted model, not a curated record